Molecule: transfer RNA, 76 nt
Filed under: Deltaproteobacteria bacterium
Lineage: Bacteria; Pseudomonadati; Myxococcota; Myxococcia
Also listed under: 1 other name
Description: tRNA-His
Rfam family: tRNA
About the family: Transfer RNA (tRNA) molecules are approximately 80 nucleotides in length. Their secondary structure includes four short double-helical elements and three loops (D, anti-codon, and T loops). Further hydrogen bonds mediate the characteristic L-shaped molecular structure. tRNAs have two regions of fundamental functional importance: the anti-codon, which is responsible for specific mRNA codon recognition, and the 3' end, to which the tRNAs corresponding amino acid is attached (by aminoacyl-tRNA synthetases). tRNAs cope with the degeneracy of the genetic code in two manners: having more than one tRNA (with a specific anti-codon) for a particular amino acid; and 'wobble' base-pairing, i.e. permitting non-standard base-pairing at the 3rd anti-codon position.
Source: RNAcentral
GUGAGGAUAGCUUAAUCGGUAGAGCGCCAGGUUGUGGCCCUGGUGGGUGGCGGUUCGAAUCCGCUUCCUCACCCCA